UGGGGAAUAUUGCACAAUGGAGGGAACUCUGAUGCAGCGACGCCGCGUGAACGAAGAAGGCUUUCGAGUCGUAAAGUUCUUUUAUAUGGGAAGAUAAUGACGGUACCAUAAGAAAAAGCCCCGGCUAACUACGUGCCAGCAGCCGCGGUAAUACGUAGGGGGCUAGCGUUGUCCGGAAUCACUGGGCGUAAAGGGUUCGCAGGCGGAAAUGCAAGUCAGGUGUAAAAGGCAGUAGCUUAACUACUGUAAGCAUUUGAAACUGCAUAUCUUGAGAAGUGUAGAGGUAAGUGGAAUUUUUAGUGUAGCGGUGAAAUGCGUAGAUAUUAAAAAGAAUACCGGUGGCGAAGGCGGCUUACUGGGCUCAUUCUGACGCUGAGGAACGAAAGCGUGGGUAGCAAACAGG
RNAcentral lists this ribosomal RNA (403 nucleotides) under bacterium. Its description in RNAcentral is "partial 16S ribosomal RNA". It matches the Rfam family "Bacterial small subunit ribosomal RNA", at positions 355 to 776 of the family's 1533-position model. The record is from RNAcentral.